GAUGAACGCUAGCGGGAGGCUUAACACAUGCAAGCCGAGGGGUAUAGUUCUUUCGGGAACUAGAGACCGGCGCACGGGUGCGUAACGCGUAUGCAACUUGCCCUACUGAAAAGGAUAGCCCUUCGAAAGGAGGAUUAAUACUUUAUAACAGAUUUAAUGGCAUCAUUAGAUUUUGAAAGAUUUAUCGCAGUAGGAUAGGCAUGCGUAAGAUUAGUUAGUUGGUGAGGUAACGGCUCACCAAGACGAUGAUCUUUAGGGGGCCUGAGAGGGUGAACCCCCACACUGGUACUGAGACACGGACCAGACUCCUACGGGAGGCAGCAGUGAGGAAUAGUGGACAAUGGGUGGAAGCCUGAUCCAGCCAUCCCGCGUGUAGGAUGACGGCCUUAUGGGUGGUAAACUACUUUUAUCUGGGGAUAAACCUACUUACGGGUAAGUAGCUGAAGGUACCAGAAGAAUAAGCACCGGCUAACUCCGUG
This 479-nucleotide ribosomal RNA is filed under the name uncultured bacterium. Its description in RNAcentral is "partial 16S ribosomal RNA". It matches the Rfam family "Bacterial small subunit ribosomal RNA", at positions 28 to 507 of the family's 1533-position model. The record is from RNAcentral.